UACCCGCUGAACUUAAGCAUAUCAAUAAGCGGAGGAAAAGAAACUAACAAGGAUUCCCCUAGUAACGGCGAGUGAAGAGGGAAAAGCCCAAGUUUGAAAGCUGGCACCUUCGGUGUCCGCAUUGUAAACUCGAGAAGUGUUAUCCGCGCCGGACCAGACUUUAAAUCCUUUGGAAUAAGGUACCUUAGAGGGUGAUAGUCCCUUUCGUAGUUUGGAACCCCCGGGGCUUUGUGAUGCGCUCUCCAAGAGUCGAGUUGUUUGGGAAUGCAGCUCAAAAUGGGUGGUAAAUGCCAUCUAAGGCUAAAUACAGAGGAGAGACCGAUAGCCA
RNAcentral lists this ribosomal RNA (328 nucleotides) under Thecaphora melampodii. Its description in RNAcentral is "LSU rRNA". It matches the Rfam family "Eukaryotic large subunit ribosomal RNA", at positions 22 to 343 of the family's 3401-position model. Lineage: Eukaryota; Fungi; Basidiomycota; Ustilaginomycetes; Urocystidales; Glomosporiaceae. The record is from RNAcentral.